GACGAACGCUGGCGGCGCGCCUAACACAUGCAAGUCGAACGAGCGAGAGAGAGCUUGCUUUCUCGAGCGAGUGGCGAACGGGUGAGUAACGCGUGAGGAACCUGCCUCAAAGAGGGGGACAACAGUUGGAAACGACUGCUAAUACCGCAUAAGCCCACGACCCGGCAUCGGGUUGAGGGAAAAGGAGCAAUCCGCUUUGAGAUGGCCUCGCGUCCGAUUAGCUGGUUGGUGAGGUAACGGCCCACCAAGGCGACGAUCGGUAGCCGGACUGAGAGGUUGAACGGCCACAUUGGGACUGAGACACGGCCCAGACUCCUACGGGAGGCAGCAGUGGGGAAUAUUGCACAAUGGGGGAAACCCUGAUGCAGCGACGCCGCGUGGAGGAAGAAGGUCUUCGGAUUGUAAACUCCUGUUGUUGAGGAAGAUAAUGACGGUACUCAACAAGGAAGUGACGGCUAACUACGUGCCAGCAGCCGCGGUAAAACGUAGGUCACAAGCGUUGUCCGGAAUUACUGGGUGUAAAGGGAGCGCAGGCGGGAAGACAAGUUGGAAGUGAAAUCUAUGGGCUCAACCCAUAAACUGCUUUCAAAACUGUUUUUCUUGAGUAGUGCAGAGGUAGGCGGAAUUCCCGGUGUAGCGGUGGAAUGCGUAGAUAUCGGGAGGAACACCAGUGGCGAAGGCGGCCUACUGGGCACCAACUGACGCUGAGGCUCGAAAGUGUGGGUAGCAAACAGG
RNAcentral lists this ribosomal RNA (735 nucleotides) under uncultured bacterium. RNAcentral's name for it is "bacterial SSU rRNA". It matches the Rfam family "Bacterial small subunit ribosomal RNA", at positions 28 to 776 of the family's 1533-position model. The record is from RNAcentral.